UUCCUUAGAUCUUCAUCCAACGGCCCGCUAGGUUGGAUGAAGAUCUAAGGAACAAAAAUUAUUAAAUAUUUUAUAUAUUGUAUAAAUAAACAAAAAUAAAUUACGUAUAUAUAUAAUUUAUUCGGGUUUGGAUUCGGAUAAUAUUUCGUAUAUCCAUAUCUAUUGACAUCCCUACUUCUUAUUCCACUUUUCAAUAUACGUAUCAAAAAAUACGUACUAAACACGGUGAACCAUUCACCGUGUUUGAACACGGUGAACCAUUCACCGU
Molecule: long non-coding RNA, 268 nt
Filed under: Ananas comosus (pineapple)
Lineage: Eukaryota; Viridiplantae; Streptophyta; Magnoliopsida; Poales; Bromeliaceae
Description: long non-coding RNA (ACOM_LNC018928)
Source: RNAcentral